UUGGGCCGUCAACAAAAUUGGGCUCCCUGGCCCUUGGAGCGGAUUGUCUCGCUGUCGAGUUGAUUCUUCGUUCUACGAGACUACAAGUCUACAACUAGAACAGUCAGAGACAAUAGAAAAUAUUUUAGUAACCAACACAACGAUGCUAGUACACCAAUAUAUGAUACUUUAGUGGUGUUUGGAUCAGUAGUUUAUGAGCUAAAUUUUAGCUCCUAAACUUUAGUUCUGCUGGGCUGUUUGGAUUCGUGGACUAAAAUGGACUAAAGUCCAUAAAUGCUGUUCAACAAAGACACUAUUAUCCUCCUUCCCUACCCCUCCUCUCCACCAG
RNAcentral lists this long non-coding RNA (328 nucleotides) under Setaria viridis. Its description in RNAcentral is "long non-coding RNA (SVIR_LNC001674)". The record is from RNAcentral. Lineage: Eukaryota; Viridiplantae; Streptophyta; Magnoliopsida; Poales; Poaceae.